RNAcentral lists this ribosomal RNA (141 nucleotides) under Picochlorum maculatum. Its description in RNAcentral is "partial 28S ribosomal RNA". The stretch from base 85 to 141 matches the Rfam family "Eukaryotic large subunit ribosomal RNA", at positions 1 to 57 of the family's 3401-position model. The record is from RNAcentral. Lineage: Eukaryota; Viridiplantae; Chlorophyta; Trebouxiophyceae.
ACUGUCUCAGUGCACGUCCUUUCGUCGUGGCCCGAGGCGUCUCGCUUGGAGCUCCUUUGUAUGUACAUUCAUCAUCACAUGAUUCGACCUGAGCUCAGGCAAGAGCACCCGCUGAACUUAAGCAUAUCAAUAAGCGGAGGA